This 85-nucleotide transfer RNA is filed under the name Methanopyri archaeon. RNAcentral describes it as "tRNA-Leu". It matches the Rfam family "tRNA". Rfam says of the family: Transfer RNA (tRNA) molecules are approximately 80 nucleotides in length. Their secondary structure includes four short double-helical elements and three loops (D, anti-codon, and T loops). RNAcentral also lists the same sequence under 1 other name. The record is from RNAcentral. Lineage: Archaea; Methanobacteriati; Methanobacteriota; Methanopyri.
GCGGGGGUACCCUAGUUGGCCAAUGGGGCAGGGCUUAGGACCCUGUGGCUUAGUGCCUUCACGGGUUCGAAUCCCGUCCCCCGCA